CCUACGGGUGGCAGCAGUGGGGGAUAUUGCACAAUGGGGGGAACCCUGAUGCAGCGACGCCGCGUGGGUGAAGGAGCGUUUCGGCUCGUAAACUUCUAUCAACAGGGACGAAAGAAAUGACGGUACCUGAAUAAGAAGCCCCGACUAACUACGUGCCAGCAGCCGCGGUAAUACGUAGGGGGCAAGCGUUAUCCGGAAUUACUGGGGGUAAAGGGUGAGUAGGCGGCAUGGUAAGCCAGAUGUGAAAGCCUUGGGCUUAACCCGAGGAUUGCAUUUGGAACUAUCAAGCUAGAGUACAGGAGAGGAAAGCGGAAUUCCUAGUGGAGCGGUGAAAUGCGUAGAUAUUAGGAAGAACACCAGUGGCGAAGGCGGCUUUCUGGACUGAAACUGACGCUGAGGCACGAAAGCGUGGGGAGCGAACAGGAUUAGAUACCCUAGUAGUC
RNAcentral lists this ribosomal RNA (443 nucleotides) under uncultured bacterium. Its description in RNAcentral is "partial 16S ribosomal RNA". It matches the Rfam family "Bacterial small subunit ribosomal RNA", at positions 338 to 795 of the family's 1533-position model. The record is from RNAcentral.